This 253-nucleotide ribosomal RNA is filed under the name uncultured bacterium. RNAcentral describes it as "partial small subunit ribosomal RNA". It matches the Rfam family "Bacterial small subunit ribosomal RNA", at positions 26 to 285 of the family's 1533-position model. The record is from RNAcentral.
AAGACGAACGCUGGCGGCGUGCUUAAUACAUGCAAGUCGAACGAUGAAGCCCUCGGGUGGAUUAGUGGCGAACGGGUGAGUAACACGUGGGUGAUCUGCCUCGCACUUCGGGAUAAGCCUGGGAAACUGGGUCUAAUACCGGAUAUGACCGCUGGCCGCAUGGUUGGUGGUGGAAAGAUUCAUCGGUGCGAGAUGAGCCCGCGGCCUAUCAGCUUGUUGGUGGGGUGAUGGCCUACCAAGGCGGUGACGGGUA